UAACACUAACUGGAGGACCGAACCGACUAAUGUUGAAAAAUUAGCGGAUGACUUGUGGCUGGGGGUGAAAGGCCAAUCAAACCGGGAGAUAGCUGGUUCUCCCCGAAAGCUAUUUAGGUAGCGCCUCGUGAAUUCAUCUCCGGGGGUAGAGCACUGUUUCGGCAAGGGGGUCAUCCCGACUUACCAACCCGAUGCAAACUGCGAAUACCGGAGAAUGUUAUCACGGGAGACACACGGCGGGUGCUAACGUCCGUCGUGAAGAGGGAAACAACCCAGACCGCCAGCUAAGGUCCCAAAGUCAUGGUUAAGUGGGAAACGAUGUGGGAAGGCCCAGACAGCCAGGAUGUUGGCUUAGAAGCAGCCAUCAUUUAAAGAAAGCGUAAUAGCUCACUGGUCGAGUCGGCCUGCGCGGAAGAUGUAACGGGGCUAAACCAUGCACCGAAGCUGCGGCAGCGACGCUUAUGCGUUGUUGGGUAGGGGAGCGUUCUGUAAGCCUGUGAAGGUGGCCUGUGAGGGUUGCUGGAGGUAUCAGAAGUGCGAAUGCUGACAUAAGUAACGAUAAAGCGGGUGAAAAGCCCGCUCGCCGGAAGACCAAGGGUUCCUGUCCAACGUUAAUCGGGGCAGGGUGAGUCGACCCCUAAGGCGAGGCCGAAAGGCGUAGUCGAUGGGAAACAGGUUAAUAUUCCUGUACUUGGUGUUACUGCGAAGGGGGGACGGAGAAGGCUAUGUUGGCCGGGCGACGGUUGUCCCGGUUUAAGCGUGUAGGCUGGUUUUCCAGGCAAAUCCGGAAAAUCAAGGCUGAGGCGUGAUGACGAGGCACUACGGUGCUGAAGCGACAAAUGCCCUGCUUCCAGGAAAAGCCUCUAAGCAUCAGGUAACAUUAAAUCGUACCCCAAACCGACACAGGUGGUCAGGUAGAGAAUACCAAGGCGCUUGAGAGAACUCGGGUGAAGGAACUAGGCAAAAUGGUGCCGUAACUUCGGGAGAAGGCACGCUGAUAUGUAGGUGAAGCGACUUGCUCGUGGAGCUGAAAUCAGUCGAAGAUACCAGCUGGCUGCAACUGUUUAUUAAAAACACAGCACUGUGCAAACACGAAAGUGGACGUAUACGGUGUGACGCCUGCCCGGUGCCGGAAGGUUAAUUGAUGGGGUUAGCGGUAACGCGAAGCUCUUGAUCGAAGCCCCGGUAAACGGCGGCCGUAACUAUAACGGUCCUAAGGUAGCGAAAUUCCUUGUCGGGUAAGUUCCGACCUG
RNAcentral lists this ribosomal RNA (1253 nucleotides) under Escherichia coli. Its description in RNAcentral is "partial 23S ribosomal RNA". It matches the Rfam family "Bacterial large subunit ribosomal RNA", at positions 757 to 1990 of the family's 2925-position model. Lineage: Bacteria; Pseudomonadati; Pseudomonadota; Gammaproteobacteria; Enterobacterales; Enterobacteriaceae. The record is from RNAcentral.